GGGUCCGGACACACUGAGGAUUGACAGAUAUACGUCGUGCGUUGAGCUCUCUCGGGGGCCGAGCGCAUGACUGAAAGAUGCUAGUUCUUUCAUGAUUAUGUGAUAGGUGGUGCAUGGCCGUUCUUAGUUCGUGGAGUGAUCUGUCUGCUUAAUUGCGUAUCAUAAAAAAAGAGACCUAGUAUACGCGUAAGAUAUCGUUUACGGUUCGUGACCCCCUUCGGGCGUGUGUCGCACGUACGUAUCAUACGCACUGGUCUCCGAUAGCAACGAACGUGACCGUACUCUAUUGUUGCAGCGAAUGUAUGCAUCUUCGGGUGUAUCUACCGCUGCUUAGCAUAUUUCAUGCCUCGUGCGUGUGUAUGCAUUAAACUAUAGAGACCGCUGUAUUUUUUUUAAACCAGAGGAAGGAUACGGCAAUAACAGGUCUGUGAUGCCCUCAGAUGUUCCGGGCUGCACACGUGCUACAAUGAUCAUUGCACUGUGCAUCUAACCCAAUGUGCGUGGACGCCACGGUAUGUAUUUAUGCUUCGGCGUAGUAUAUAUCAGUUGGUCGGUCGCGCCGAACCUACUUCGAAAGUAAAAUUUCUCAGUGGGU
This 595-nucleotide ribosomal RNA is filed under the name Ammonia sp. genotype T1. RNAcentral describes it as "bacterial SSU rRNA". The stretch from base 1 to 465 matches the Rfam family "Eukaryotic small subunit ribosomal RNA", at positions 1220 to 1501 of the family's 1831-position model. Lineage: Eukaryota; Foraminifera; Rotaliida; Rotaliidae. The record is from RNAcentral.